RNAcentral lists this ribosomal RNA (583 nucleotides) under Pezizomycetes sp. genotype 30. RNAcentral's name for it is "eukaryotic LSU rRNA". It matches the Rfam family "Eukaryotic large subunit ribosomal RNA", at positions 15 to 601 of the family's 3401-position model. The record is from RNAcentral. Lineage: Eukaryota; Fungi; Ascomycota; Pezizomycetes.
GUAGGGAUACCCGCUGAACUUAAGCAUAUCAAUAAGCGGAGGAAAAGAAACCAACAGGGAUUGCCUUAGUAACUGCGAGUGAAGCGGCAAAAGCUCAAAUUUGAAAUCUGGGGCCUCACAGCCUCCGAAUUGUAAUUUCACGAUACGUUUUCGACUGAAGGCUCUGCUUUAAGUUCCUUGGAACAGGACGUCACAGAGGGUGAGAAUCCCGUGAUAGGUGGAGCCUGAUGCAUAUGAUACGUAUUCAACGAGUCGAGUUGUUUGGGAAUGCAGCUCAAAAUGGGAGGUAAAUUUCUUCUAAAGCUAAAUAUUGGCGAGAGACCGAUAGCGCACAAGUAGAGUGAUCGAAAGAUGAAAAGCACUUUGAAAAGAGAGUUAAAAAGUACGUGAAAUUGUUGAAAGGGAAGCGCUUGAGACCAGACUCAAUCUGUAGUGAUCAAUUUGGCUUCUGUCAGAUGCACUUGCUACUUAUUGGGACAGCAUCGGUUUUGGCGGUGGGAUAAAGUCUUGAGGAAUGUAGCUAUCUUCGGGUAGUGUUAUAGCCUCUUGAGUAAUGCCACCAGCUGGGACCGAGGACCGCGCC